CUUCGGCUUAAUCUAUCUAUCUAUCUAUCCACACAGAACAUUACAUAAGUCAUUGCUAACGUAGACUCUGGUAAUUUGAGGCCUCAAUGCGUCGCUUUGCUCAACCCCAGCACCAGCCUACACAGCAGUGACAAUGUGAGCAAACUGGGGUCAGAUGUCUUACUCAAGGCAUCUGUGUUUGUAAUGCAGCGGGGGACUUUUUUCAAAGAGACAACAUCUGAUAACAUCUGCAGAGCCAGAGGCUCCCUCUCACGUCU
Molecule: long non-coding RNA, 257 nt
Organism: Labeo rohita (rohu)
Lineage: Eukaryota; Metazoa; Chordata; Actinopteri; Cypriniformes; Cyprinidae
Exons: 3
Source: RefSeq, a predicted model, not a curated record